Molecule: ribosomal RNA, 499 nt
Filed under: uncultured bacterium
Lineage: Bacteria
Description: bacterial SSU rRNA
Rfam family: Bacterial small subunit ribosomal RNA
Source: RNAcentral
GAGUUUGAUCAUGGCUCAGGAUUAACGCUGGCGGUAUGCCUAACACAUGCAAGUCGAACGGAAUACUCGAAAAGAGAAUCUCACACUAGUGAGAGGUUCUCCAACCGAGUAUUUAGUGGCGGACGGGUGAGUAACACGUUGGAACCUGCCCCGAAGUGGGGAAUAACUGCUCGAAAGAGUAGCUAAUACCCCAUAGUAUCCGGUUUAUCCGGAUUAAAGAUUUAUCGCUUCGGGAGGGGCCUGCGUCUGAUUAGCUUGUUGGUGGGGUAAAAGCUCACCAAGGCGACGAUCAGUAGCUGGUUCGAGAGGAUGACCAGCCACACUGGGACUGAGAUACGGCCCAGACUCCUACGGGAGGCAGCAGUGAGGAAUCUUCCACAAUGGACGAAAGUCUGAUGGAGCAAUACCGCGUGCAGGACGACGCUUUUCGGAGUGUAAACUGCUUUUGUCGUCGAAGAUUAUGACUGUAGACGAAGAAUAAGGACCGGCUAACUACGUG